Long non-coding RNA from Paramormyrops kingsleyae, 2248 nucleotides. RefSeq lists it as uncharacterized. The record is from RefSeq and is a predicted model, not a curated record. Lineage: Eukaryota; Metazoa; Chordata; Actinopteri; Osteoglossiformes; Mormyridae.
CGAAAGAGCCAUUCGUCAACGGUGGCUGAGGACACAGAAGUCAUAAUUUACCGGUAUCCUGUCUGCCUGCUAGCACCUCCCAGGGAUGAGCCUGGUAAAUGUGCGUAAAAUGGAACAUGACUCAUGUCAAGUUUUUACCUGACAAGUAAGUAUUGGAAGGACACUUGUGUCCCUCCCAUGAUCCUUUGCAGCUGGCAGGCAGCUAUGAGAAAAAACAAGAAAGUGACCAGUAUGGAAUACAACAAUUUCAAUACAAAUCCUCUUUAAAAUAAAAUUCAACUACACUAGCUGGCCACUUUAUUACGUAUCCCUACAUUGCAGCAUGCAGUUUUGUCUCCAGAUCCACCUCAAUCAUUGACACGUUCAGAGAGGUCUUGCUACACACGACUGUUUCACUGAGCAGUUAUUAUGCACUUGUGGACUUCCUGUUAGCUUUAAUGAGCCUGGCCAUUCUCCUCUGACCUCUCACACCACUGCCUAAUCCGAUGUUAUCUGCUGUAAAAUCUAGAUCAAGGUGAGCUGCCGUUUCUGAAAAGCUGGAACUACCAUGUUUGGCACCAACAAAUCACAUCACGUUCAGAAUCACUCAGGAUCGAUCACAUGUCUUAGCUGUGCUAAUGCUUAAUCAAAAGGUAUACAAGCUAACCUCUUGACCUUGUCAGUAAUGGUGAAUAUAUUAAGUUGCAGCCACAUGAUGUGUUAUCAGGCUGGUUAUAUUAGCAGGCAGGUGCACCUAAUAAACAGCCCAUUAUUGUCCUUCAAUCCACAGACAACCCUACUUUACCUCUUGUCAUACAAACUCAGCGAAUGCCCAAGCUUGUAGCCUCUAUGACCUGACCAACCUGCACCCAAAUGGGAAAGUCACAUGACAUUCACAACAGGAAUGGGAAAAGGACGUGUGACAUAUAAGAUGCCUUUUAAUGUGAGUCAGGGGCCAAGAGAGAGCCCGCUUCUAGUGUUGCACCAAAGUGGAAAUUUUGGCAGAUACAGAUAACCCAGGGGUCGGCAACCUGCGGCUCUUUGGCCACGUGGCUGCGGCUCUUCUCAGAAUGACAGACGCAUUCACAUUUUCAUGUGUUAACACAUUAUGUAAAUGACCGCUAUUUCUUUAAUUCCCUCUGUGAUACAGACGUUGACGUAAUUUACGUGCCUCGGAACCUGCGUAGUCAGGUAGUUGUUUUUUUUUUUUUCCUUUGUGUCCGACUGCAGAGCGGUCUCUGUGUUUUACAACAAGCUAGCAGCGCUCCAUGUUAGUGUGAGCAAAGUUUUAAUCCUUGCAGUUUUUUUUUGUUGCUUUUGCACCCUUUGGCAAGCGGAGCGAGUGGCAGGGCACUCUGCAGGAACGAAGACGAGAAUGAGACAGACAGCGACAGACAGACAGAGUGAGAAAUGAGCAGGAGAUGGAAAGUGAGAGACGGACAGACUGCGAGAAGGAGAUGGAAAGAAAAAGGGAGAGAUGGAGAGAGAGAAAUCCCAUGCAAAACAGGGCAGAGAGGCCUCUCCUGAUGCGAACAGCGUGCGGAUCUUCCCGUCGACCGGCCAGAGGCCACCAGUUGGGCCUCUGCUCCCUGUCCCUUCUCAGUGAAGACGGGGGCGGGCAGGGAAAUUAGUGGAUUGCUGUUCCUUGGUCGCCAGUGCGGUGUGAGAAGUGACCCCCCCGCCAAACCAAGCCACCCCCCUCCCGCCUGAGUGGAAGACACCUCAGUGACGCUGAUUAGGGGGGUGAGACACAUUUAUUACAGCCAGUUCAUGAUGCCAGGGGACAGUAAUGUGCCAGGAACAGACUGCUGCUCCAUCUGACACUGAAAACAGGCGUCCGACAAACACACACACUGCUGCUCGGAAGGCUGCAGUCCACAGGCCAAACAUGGCACACCUUGACCUCAAACAUGUUCUCUGACGAGCGAGCAGAUCCCUUAGCAAGGCCACGGCGGAUUCAACAAGCCUGCAUUCCUAAAAGCAGAGACAGGUACAGGGCGAACUACACAUACACAUACUCUGGACCAGCCCAGACUUUCACUCCACUUCAAAACCAAUUCAAUCACUACGGAUUAAUUCAAACAAUGAAAUAAAAGCAUCAAAUAAAGCCACACAUUUCUUUACAUUGUAUCCCAACCCAGUAAAACUAGGAACCUAAUCAGCACCAUUUUAAAACGGCAGUAACACAGAGGUAACGAAAACAGAAGCGAUAUAAUUUCAUACCCAAGUAGGAAGCUGUUACGGGUACACAAACACAGUUUUUUUUAAA